This 297-nucleotide ribosomal RNA is filed under the name Triticum aestivum (bread wheat). RNAcentral's name for it is "partial small subunit ribosomal RNA". Lineage: Eukaryota; Viridiplantae; Streptophyta; Magnoliopsida; Poales; Poaceae. The record is from RNAcentral.
AUGAAGCUCCUAUGUUGGAACAUUAGGGGCUUCGGCAAUUUGGGACGCCAAUGCCAAUUGAUUGAUUACAUCCGGCAAGAAGAUAUCGACAUAGUAGGUCUCCAAGAGACAAUUUUCCAAGACUUCUCCAUCCAAGAACUUCAGGGUUUGUCACGACACUCUUUUGCCUGGCAAUGGUUGCCGGCGACAGGUCUAUCUGGGGCGUUCUCCUGGGGGUCAGGGAGGAUAUUUUCUCCGUCGAGGAUAUGGACCGAGGGGAAUUCUUUCUUAUUAUGGCCAUCACUGACCGACGUGUGA